RNAcentral lists this ribosomal RNA (497 nucleotides) under uncultured bacterium. RNAcentral's name for it is "partial 16S ribosomal RNA". It matches the Rfam family "Bacterial small subunit ribosomal RNA", at positions 28 to 507 of the family's 1533-position model. The record is from RNAcentral.
GAUGAACGCUGGCGGCGUGCCUAAUACAUGCAAGUCGAGCGAACAGACGAGGAGCUUGCUCCUCUGACGUUAGCGGCGGACGGGUGAGUAACACGUGGAUAACCUACCUAUAAGACUGGGAUAACUUCGGGAAACCGGAGCUAAUACCGGAUAAUAUAUUGAACCGCAUGGUUCAAUAGUGAAAGACGCUUUUGCUGUCACUUAUAGAUGUAUCCGCGCCGCAUUAGCUAGUUGGUAAGGUAACGGCUUACCAAGGCAACGAUGCGUAGCCGACCUGAGAGGGUGAUCGGCCACACUGGAACUGAGACACGGUCCAGACUCCUACGGGAGGCAGCAGUAGGGAAUCUUCCGCAAUGGGCGAAAGCCUGACGGAGCAACGCCGCGUGAGUGAUGAAGGUCUUCGGAUCGUAAAACUCUGUUAUUAGGGAAGAACAAAUGCGUAAGUAACUAUGCACGUCUUGACGGUACCUAAUCAGAAAGCCACGGCUAACUACGUG